AACGAACGCUGGCGGCAUGCCUAACACAUGCAAGUCGAACGAAGGCUUCGGCCUUAGUGGCGCACGGGUGCGUAACGCGUGGGAACCUGCCCUUUGGUUCGGAAUAACCAGGAGAAAUUCUGGCUAAUACCGGAUGAUGUCGAAAGACCAAAGAUUUAUCGCCAUAGGAUGGGCCCGCGUAGGAUUAGCUAGUUGGUGAGGUAAAGGCUCACCAAGGCGGCGAUCCUUAGCUGGUCUGAGAGGAUGAUCAGCCACACUGGGACUGAGACACGGCCCAGACUCCUACGGGAGGCAGCAGUGGGGAAUAUUGGACAAUGGGCGAAAGCCUGAUCCAGCAAUGCCGCGUGAGUGAUGAAGGCCUUAGGGUUGUAAAGCUCUUUUACCCGGGAUGAUAAUGACAGUACCGGGAGAAUAAGCCCCGGCUACUCCGUGCCAGCCGCCGCGGUAA
Molecule: ribosomal RNA, 448 nt
Filed under: uncultured bacterium
Lineage: Bacteria
Description: partial 16S ribosomal RNA
Rfam family: Bacterial small subunit ribosomal RNA
Source: RNAcentral